Molecule: long non-coding RNA, 235 nt
Filed under: Mytilus galloprovincialis (Mediterranean mussel)
Lineage: Eukaryota; Metazoa; Mollusca; Bivalvia; Mytilida; Mytilidae
Source: RNAcentral
UUGGGCGGUAAGCUGCGAUUGGAUCAUAUAGUAACACGUGUUUAUUCCCGAUCAACACUUGCAGAUCUAGAGACAAGCAUGAAUUUAAAGAAAUAAAAAAGUAUAUGCCUGAAUAUAUUUAAUAUUAAGACAAAAUUCAUUUUUUCAUAAACAUUUCAUUUACUAAUGAAGUAGGAAAUUCAUUCUUUUGAUACAUUUAUAUUGUUAUCGAAUUUAUAUCAGUGGCGGAUUCAGG